This 488-nucleotide ribosomal RNA is filed under the name uncultured bacterium. RNAcentral describes it as "partial 16S ribosomal RNA". It matches the Rfam family "Bacterial small subunit ribosomal RNA", at positions 28 to 507 of the family's 1533-position model. The record is from RNAcentral.
GACGAACGCUGGCGGCGUGCUUAACACAUGCAAGUCGAACGGAAAGGCCCUGCUUUUGUGGGGUGCUCGAGUGGCGAACGGGUGAGUAACACGUGAGUAACCUGCCCUUGACUUUGGGAUAACUUCAGGAAACUGGGGCUAAUACCGGAUAGGAGCUCCUGCUGCAUGGUGGGGGUUGGAAAGUUUCGGCGGUUGGGGAUGGACUCGCGGCUUAUCAGCUUGUUGGUGGGGUAGUGGCUUACCAAGGCUUUGACGGGUAGCCGGCCUGAGAGGGUGACCGGCCACAUUGGGACUGAGAUACGGCCCAGACUCCUACGGGAGGCAGCAGUGGGGAAUCUUCCGCAAUGGGCGAAAGCCUGACGGAGCAACGCCGCGUGAGUGAUGAAGGUCUUCGGAUCGUAAAACUCUGUUAUUAGGGAAGAACAUAUGUGUAAGUAACUGUGCACAUCUUGACGGUACCUAAUCAGAAAGCCACGGCUAACUACGUG